UCCAGGCUUCUGUCCUGUGGCCUACAGAGGAACAGCUCUGUGUCCAAGGGAGUUGGGUUCUAGGGCUCAGGUCUCAGGCAGCCAAAGGACUACGUUCCUUUUCAGCUCCCAGAAAUCUGUGCGAAAGAAACCCAGAUAAGAUGGGACAGGGGACAUGACACAGGACCCGGGACCAAGGUGAAGUAAAGCCACAACAAAAACUACAAAGGCAGCAGCAACAACAACAAACAAAACAGAAAUAAAAACCUCAAGAGAGGGGCUAGGGUGUGGCCCGGUUGGCAGCCUGAAGGAGGCUAUGGGUUUGAAUCUACCAGCACAGAGAACCCAACUGACAUGGUGCUUGGCUGCCACACCAGCACUCUGCGGGGGAGGCAAUCAGAGGAUCAGUCAUUCUAAGCUACAGCAGGAGUUCGAGGCCACCUGGAGCUACAUGAGACCCUACCCCCAAAAUAAAUAAGUAGAAGACAGGUAA
Molecule: long non-coding RNA, 472 nt
Organism: Mastomys coucha (southern multimammate mouse)
Lineage: Eukaryota; Metazoa; Chordata; Mammalia; Rodentia; Muridae
Exons: 2
Source: RefSeq, a predicted model, not a curated record